GGUCUGGUGGUGUAGUUGGUUAUCACGUCAGUCUAACAGCUCGAGGCCGUCUCAUCUCACGAUGUCCUCACUGCACACUGAAGGUCUCCGGUUCAAGUCCGGGCUAGAUCA
This is a non-coding RNA of Colletotrichum caudatum, 111 nucleotides long. The record is from the annotation of a GenBank genome assembly. Lineage: Eukaryota; Fungi; Ascomycota; Sordariomycetes; Glomerellales; Glomerellaceae.